UAGCCGUAAACGAUACUCGCUAGGUGUCGGCCACGGUGCGACCGUUGUCGGUGCCGUAGGGAAGCCGUGAAGCGGGCCACCUGGGAAGUACGGCCGCAAGGCUGAAACUUAAAGGAAUUGGCGGGGGAGCACAACAACGGGUGGAGCUUGCGGUUUAAUUGGAUUCAACGCCGGAAAUCUUACCGGGACCGACAGCAACAUGAAGGCCAAGCUGAAGACUUUGCCGGAUUAGCUGAGAGGAGGUGCAUGGCGUAGUCGUGU
RNAcentral lists this ribosomal RNA (261 nucleotides) under uncultured archaeon. RNAcentral's name for it is "partial 16S ribosomal RNA". It matches the Rfam family "Archaeal small subunit ribosomal RNA", at positions 748 to 1009 of the family's 1478-position model. The record is from RNAcentral.